This 28-nucleotide small RNA is filed under the name Bombyx mori (domestic silkworm). Its description in RNAcentral is "piRNA piR-bmo-1624120". The record is from RNAcentral. Lineage: Eukaryota; Metazoa; Arthropoda; Insecta; Lepidoptera; Bombycidae.
UAGAUAUACUUCUUCUGCUGCCUUCAUC